UUGAUGGUUGGCUGAGUUCCAGUCCCACUCUCUGGGCAGAUAAUGCCAUCCUUGCCUUCAUAUGUGGACUGGGGCUCUUCAUCUUCUUACUUUCAUAUUUCCAGCCUGAUCCGUCCUCCCCACCACGCAAGAAAUACAGGAAGAGCAGGAAGGUAAGGAACCCUUGUCCCAGACCCAGCAGAGUAUGAUUCUAUCAUCUUUUCUAUUAUUCUUUCUACUUUUCCAAGUCACUGGAGAGACUCCUGAAAUGGGAAAGAAUAGAAUGGGUAUUCUCAGGAGAGAGUAGACCACCAUCCAUCCAGGACAAGCCAGACCAGGCAAGGGUUAGAGGGACAUGAGGAUUUCUCCCCGAAGAUCUCAGGCCAGAGUCCAGGUGUGGUGGAGGGGGGGGGGGGGCCUAGGGCA
Molecule: long non-coding RNA, 405 nt
Organism: Lutra lutra (Eurasian river otter)
Lineage: Eukaryota; Metazoa; Chordata; Mammalia; Carnivora; Mustelidae
Exons: 3
Source: RefSeq, a predicted model, not a curated record